This 604-nucleotide ribosomal RNA is filed under the name uncultured Phialocephala. RNAcentral describes it as "eukaryotic LSU rRNA". The stretch from base 243 to 396 matches the Rfam family "5.8S ribosomal RNA". The record is from RNAcentral. Lineage: Eukaryota; Fungi; Ascomycota; Leotiomycetes; Helotiales.
CUUGGUCAUUUAGAGGAAGUAAAAGUCGUAACGAGGUUUCCGUAGGUGAACCUGCGGAAGGAUCAUUACAAGUGAGGCUACCGAACGUUGGAAACAGCGGUUAGGAGCUUACACCCACCCGUGUUUACAUACUAUUGUUGCUUUGGCGGGCCGUGGCCUCCACUGCGGGCUCUGCUCGUGUGUGCCCGCCAGAGAACCAAACUCUGAAUGUUAGUGAUGUCUGAGUACUAUCUAAUAGUUAAAACUUUCAACAACGGAUCUCUUGGUUCUGGCAUCGAUGAAGAACGCAGCGAAAUGCGAUAAGUAAUGUGAAUUGCAGAAUUCAGUGAAUCAUCGAAUCUUUGAACGCACAUUGCGCCCUGUGGUAUUCCGCAGGGCAUGCCUGUUCGUGCGUCAUUUAGCCACUCACGCCUAGCGUGGUAUUGGGGCACGCGGUCUCCGCGGCCCUCAAAAUUAGUGGCGGCGCCGGUGGGCUCUAAGCGUAGUACAUACUCCCGCUAUAGAGUUCCCCCCGGUGGCUCGCCAGAACCCCCAAUUUUUUACAGGUUGACCUCGGAUCAGGUAGGGAUACCCGCUGAACUUAAGCAUAUCAAUAAGCGGAGGA